GAUUCUCUAGCCUGACCUGCUUCUCCCUCACAAGGCAGGAACCUGUUCUUUUAAAAAGGAUUCCAUUAGCCAUUGUGAGGGAAGGCUACGUACGGGGCGCAGGCAGAAACAGGAAGCCAGAGCGGAGGCUGUGGCAGCAGUCAGGGAGAGAUGACCUGGGCUGCACGGGUCAGGGUUGGUAGGUGUCUGGGAUGAAGGAAGAGUAAGUGCGCAGACAGGACAGAGAUCCUAGGGUCUCCUCCCCUAGGAAUCCGGCCAUGUCCUAAGGACAAUGUGACGUGGCUCCAUCAGGACAGAGGUGCUAGGGCAGAUGAAGGCCUCAAGUUGUGUGAAACAUCUCAGCUGUUCCCACCAUGAGGCCAGAUCUGUGGCUGCUCUGGCACUGCACACAACACUAGGCUGGCUGAACUGGGGCCUGACCUCCAUGUAUCCUCAUCUUCAAACCCGAGAACAUGCAGCUUCGGUGAAACAAACUGGGCCUGAGAAUGGGGGUGAAGAACUCACUUGCCCCAGCCAUGGCCUGGAAGAAAAAUCGUAUGACUGACUCUUACUCUGGGAUCCUCUCAGCCUCUUGGCCUCCACCCUCCUCUGCUCCCUGAGGUUUGUCUCAUCAUAGAAAAUGAAGAACCGCCCCCCCCAAAAGAAAAUGAAGA
Molecule: non-coding RNA, 653 nt
Organism: Heterocephalus glaber (naked mole-rat)
Lineage: Eukaryota; Metazoa; Chordata; Mammalia; Rodentia; Bathyergidae
Source: RefSeq, a predicted model, not a curated record